CCCUUAGAUGUCCUGGGCUGCACGCGCGCUACACUGAUGUGUCCAGUAAGCACCUAACCUCUUCCGAAAGGAACGGGUAACCUUUGCAAAGCACAUCGUGAUGGGGAUAGAUUAUUGCAAUUAUUAGUCUUGAACGAGGAAUUCCUAGUAAGCACAAGUCAUCAGCUUGUGUUGAUUACGUCCCUGCCCUUUGUACACACCGCCCGUCGCUCCUACCGAUUGAAUGUUCCGGUGAGCUCUUCGGACUGCGCGGGCUGCAGUUUCUGCGUUCCGUGCGGAAAGUUGCGCAAACCUUAACAUUUAGAGGAAGGAGAAGUCGUAACA
This 324-nucleotide ribosomal RNA is filed under the name uncultured eukaryote. RNAcentral's name for it is "partial 18S ribosomal RNA". It matches the Rfam family "Eukaryotic small subunit ribosomal RNA", at positions 1470 to 1796 of the family's 1831-position model. The record is from RNAcentral.